GUUCCAAGGCAAGUGCUUAAUGAAGAAAAACUGAAUGGUGACUGAAUGAACUGUUGAUCAGAAGCACGACCAGAGAACCAAAAAGUCACUGGUUAACUAAAGCAAACAAUGUAAUAAAUUGAUGGACCUAAUCCACUACUGUGUAUGUAAUAAAUGAAUGAAACCAGGAUUUGAAAUGGGUCCUUGGGAAAUAAGUUUAUCAGAAUGAUUUCUGACUAUGAUCUUAAAAUCAGAAAAAAAUUUGGAAGCUAAAUAUAGUUCAGUUUUACACCAGCUCAAAAUACAGAAAUCAUCACUAUGAACAAAGCUAGUGGAGGUGAUAGAAUUCCAGUUGAGCUAUUCCAAAUCCUUAAAGAUGAUGCUGUGAAAGGGCUGCACUCAAUAUGCCAGAAAAUUUGGAAAACUCAGCAGUGGCCACAGGAC
Long non-coding RNA from Bos taurus (domestic cattle), 423 nucleotides. The record is from Ensembl. NCBI's taxonomy places the organism in Eukaryota, Metazoa, Chordata, Mammalia, Artiodactyla, Bovidae.